RNAcentral lists this ribosomal RNA (253 nucleotides) under uncultured bacterium. RNAcentral describes it as "partial 16S ribosomal RNA". It matches the Rfam family "Bacterial small subunit ribosomal RNA", at positions 524 to 776 of the family's 1533-position model. The record is from RNAcentral.
UACGGAGGGUGCAAGCGUUAUCCGGAUUUACUGGGUUUAAAGGGUGCGUAGGUGGAUAAUUAAGUCAGUGGUGAAAUCUUCAGGCUUAACCUGGAAACUGCCAUUGAUACUAUUUAUCUUGAAUACUUUGGAGGUAAGCGGAAUAUGUCAUGUAGCGGUGAAAUGCUUAGAUAUGACAUAGAACACCAAUUGCGAAGGCAGCUUACUACGGAUCGAUUGACACUGAGGCACGAAAGCGUGGGGAUCAAACAGG